RNAcentral lists this ribosomal RNA (458 nucleotides) under Staphylococcus epidermidis. RNAcentral describes it as "bacterial SSU rRNA". It matches the Rfam family "Bacterial small subunit ribosomal RNA", at positions 18 to 465 of the family's 1533-position model. The record is from RNAcentral. Lineage: Bacteria; Bacillati; Bacillota; Bacilli; Caryophanales; Staphylococcaceae.
CCUGGCUCAGGAUGAACGCUGGCGGCGUGCCUAAUACAUGCAAGUCGAGCGAACAGACGAGGAGCUUGCUCCUCUGACGUUAGCGGCGGACGGGUGAGUAACACGUGGAUAACCUACCUAUAAGACUGGGAUAACUUCGGGAAACCGGAGCUAAUACCGGAUAAUAUAUUGAACCGCAUGGUUCAAUAGUGAAAGACGGUUUUGCUGUCACUUAUAGAUGGAUCCGCGCCGCAUUAGCUAGUUGGUAAGGUAACGGCUUACCAAGGCAACGAUGCGUAGCCGACCUGAGAGGGUGAUCGGCCACACUGGAACUGAGACACGGUCCAGACUCCUACGGGAGGCAGCAGUAGGGAAUCUUCCGCAAUGGGCGAAAGCCUGACGGAGCAACGCCGCGUGAGUGAUGAAGGUCUUCGGAUCGUAAAACUCUGUUAUUAGGGAAGAACAAAUGUGUAAGUAAC